CUUAUUUUUAGCACAACGCAACUGCACCUCUUCAGAGUUCCAAUAGGAUACAAGGGCCGCCCAUUGAUCAGGAAGGACUCUUUUGUUACAGUCCUUCAAACGUUCCUCAUCAGUUGUAUGAGGGUUAUAAUGGUCAGCCUUCAACUGAGCUUUCCAGUUCCUCCAUUUUGAUGCAAGGGACUUCAUAACCCAAGUUUUGCAUGUGGGGUCAAUGUCAAACUUUGUCUGCACAAACUGCCACAUAUCCUCUUUGAUUGC
This 258-nucleotide unclassified non-coding RNA is filed under the name Hevea brasiliensis (rubber tree). The record is from RNAcentral. Lineage: Eukaryota; Viridiplantae; Streptophyta; Magnoliopsida; Malpighiales; Euphorbiaceae.